RNAcentral lists this ribosomal RNA (253 nucleotides) under uncultured bacterium. Its description in RNAcentral is "partial 16S ribosomal RNA". It matches the Rfam family "Bacterial small subunit ribosomal RNA", at positions 524 to 776 of the family's 1533-position model. The record is from RNAcentral.
UACGGAGGGGACUAGCGUUGUUCGGAAUUACUGGGCGUAAAGCGCACGUAGGCGGAUUUGUAAGUCAGGGGUGAAAUCCCGGGGCUCAACCUCGGAACUGCCUUUGAUACUGAGGAGCUUGAGUCCGGGAGAGGUGAGUGGAACUGCGAGUGUAGAGGUGAAAUUCGUAGAUAUUCGCAAGAACACCAGUGGCGAAGGCGGCUCACUGGCCCGGUACUGACGCUGAGGCGCGAAAGCUAGGGGAGCAAACGGG